AAUAGAUACCCGGGUAGUCCACGCCGUAAACGACUGAGUGCUAAGUGUUAGAGGGUUUCCGCCCUUUAGUGCUGCAGCUAACGCAUUAAGCACUCCGCCUGGGGAGUACGGUCGCAAGACUGAAACUCAAAGGAAUUGACGGGGGCCCGCACAAGCGGUGGAGCAUGUGGUUUAAUUCGAAGCAACGCGAAGAACCUUACCAGGUCUUGACAUCCUCUGACAACUCUAGAGAUAGAGCGUUCCCCUUCGGGGGACAGAGUGACAGGUGGUGCAUGGUUGUCGUCAGCUCGUGUCGUGAGAUGUUGGGUUAAGUCCCGCAACGAGCGCAACCCUUGAUCUUAGUUGCCAGCAUUUAGUUGGGCACUCUAAGGCGACUGCCGGUGACAAACCGGAGGAAGGUGGGGAUGACGUCAAAUCAUCAUGCCCCUUAUGACCUGGGCUACACACGUGCUACAAUGGAUGGUACAAAGGGCUGCAAGACCGCGAGGUCAAGCCAAUCCCAUAAAACCAUUCUCAGUUCGGAUUGUAGG
Molecule: ribosomal RNA, 530 nt
Filed under: uncultured bacterium
Lineage: Bacteria
Description: bacterial SSU rRNA
Rfam family: Bacterial small subunit ribosomal RNA
Source: RNAcentral